Molecule: ribosomal RNA, 263 nt
Filed under: Salmonella enterica subsp. enterica serovar Thompson
Lineage: Bacteria; Pseudomonadati; Pseudomonadota; Gammaproteobacteria; Enterobacterales; Enterobacteriaceae
Also listed under: 3 other names
Description: partial 16S ribosomal RNA
Rfam family: Bacterial small subunit ribosomal RNA
Source: RNAcentral
AAAUUGAAGAGUUUGAUCAUGGCUCAGAUUGAACGCUGGCGGCAGGCCUAACACAUGCAAGUCGAACGGUAACAGGAAGCAGCUUGCUGCUUUGCUGACGAGUGGCGGACGGGUGAGUAAUGUCUGGGAAACUGCCUGAUGGAGGGGGAUAACUACUGGAAACGGUGGCUAAUACCGCAUAACGUCGCAAGACCAAAGAGGGGGACCUUCGGGCCUCUUGCCAUCAGAUGUGCCCAGAUGGGAUUAGCUAGUUGGUGAGGUAA